GACGAACGCUGGCGGCGUGCUUAACACAUGCAAGUCGAACGGAAAGGCCCUGCUUUUGUGGGGUGCUCGAGUGGCGAACGGGUGAGUAACACGUGAGUAACCUGCCCUUGACUUUGGGAUAACUUCAGGAAACUGGGGCUAAUACCGGAUAGGAGCUCCUGCUGCAUGGUGGGGGUUGGAAAGUUUCGGCGGUUGGGGAUGGACUCGCGGCUUAUCAGCUUGUUGGUGGGGUAGUGGCUUACCAAGGCUUUGACGGGUAGCCGGCCUGGGAGGGUGACCGGCCACAUUGGGACUGAGAUGCGGCCCAGACUCCUACGGGAGGGAGCAGUGGGGAAUAUUGCACAAUGGGCGGAAGCCUGAUGCAGCAACGCCGCGUGCGGGAUGACGGCCUUCGGGUUGUAAACCGCUUUCGCCUGUGACGAAGCGUGAGUGACGGUAAUGGGUAAAGAAGCACCGGCUAACUACGUG
This 468-nucleotide ribosomal RNA is filed under the name uncultured bacterium. Its description in RNAcentral is "partial 16S ribosomal RNA". It matches the Rfam family "Bacterial small subunit ribosomal RNA", at positions 28 to 507 of the family's 1533-position model. The record is from RNAcentral.